Molecule: ribosomal RNA, 465 nt
Filed under: uncultured bacterium
Lineage: Bacteria
Description: SSU rRNA
Rfam family: Bacterial small subunit ribosomal RNA
Source: RNAcentral
AGAACGAACGCUGGCGGCAUGCCUAACACAUGCAAGUCGGACGCUUUCGGGGGUUUCGGCCUCCGAGGGAGUGGCGGACGGGUGAGUAGCGCGUGGGAACCUGCCCCUUUGUGGGGGAUAACCGAGGGAAACUUCGGCUAAUACCGCAUGCGCCCGGGGGUAACUCCGGGGAAAGAUUUAUCGCAGAGGGAGGGGCCCGCGUCGGAUUAGGUAGUUGGUGGGGUAACGGCCUACCAAGCCGGUGAUCCGUAGCUGGUCUGAGAGGAUGAUCAGCCACACUGGGACUGAGACACGGCCCAGACUCCUACGGGAGGCAGCAGUGGGGAAUAUUGGACAAUGGGCGCAAGCCUGAUCCAGCAAUGCCGCGUGAGUGAUGACGGCCUUAGGGUUGUAAAGCUCUUUCGCUCGGGACGAUAAUGACGGUACCGAGAUAAGAAGCCCGGCUAACUUCGUGCCAGCAGCCGC